Unclassified non-coding RNA from Pongo abelii (Sumatran orangutan), 148 nucleotides. It matches the Rfam family "Metazoan signal recognition particle RNA". Rfam says of the family: The signal recognition particle (SRP) is a universally conserved ribonucleoprotein. NCBI's taxonomy places the organism in Eukaryota, Metazoa, Chordata, Mammalia, Primates, Hominidae. The record is from Ensembl.
GCCGGGCGUGGUGGUGCACGCUUGUAAUCCCAGGUACGUGGGAGGCUGAGGCAGGAGAAUUGCUUGAACUCAGGAGGCAGAGGAUGCAGUGAGCCAAGAUCAUGUCACUGCACUCCAACCUGGGCGACAGAGCAAGACUCUGUCUCAA